UGGGGAAUUUUGCACAAUGGGGGAAACCCUGAUGCAGCGACGCCGCGUGAUUUAGAAGGCCUUCGGGUUGUAAAAAUCUUUUUUACGGGAUGAAAAUGACAGUACCGUAAGAAUAAGGUCCGGCUAAAUAUGUGCCAGCAGCCGCGGUAAUACGUAUGGACCGAGCGUUGUCCGGAAUCAUUGGGCGUAAAGGGUACGUAGGCGGCCUAGUAAGUUAGAAGUGAAAUAAUAUAGCUCAACUAUAUAAAGCUUUUAAAACUGCUAGGCUUGAGAGAUGGAAGGGAAAGUGGAAUUCCUAGUGUAGCGGUGAAAUGCGCAGAUAUUAGGAAGAAUACCGGUGGCGAAGGCGACUUUCUGGUCAUCAUCUGACGCUGAGGUACGAAAGCGUGGGUAGCAAACAGG
Molecule: ribosomal RNA, 402 nt
Filed under: bacterium
Lineage: Bacteria
Description: partial 16S ribosomal RNA
Rfam family: Bacterial small subunit ribosomal RNA
Source: RNAcentral